GAUGAACGCUGGCGGCGUGCCUAAUACAUGCAAGUCGAGCGAACAGACGAGGAGCUUGCUCCUCUGACGUUAGCGGCGGACGGGUGAGUAACACGUGGAUAACCUACCUAUAAGACUGGGAUAACUUCGGGAAACCGGAGCUAAUACCGGAUAAUAUAUUGAACCGCAUGGUUCAAUAGUGAAAGACGGCUUUGCUGUCACUUAUAGAUGGAUCCGCGCCGCAUUAGCUAGUUGGUAAGGUAACGGCUUACCAAGGCGACGAUGCGUAGCCGACCUGAGAGGGUGAUCGGCCACACUGGAACUGAGACACGGUCCAGACUCCUACGGGAGGCAGCAGUAGGGAAUCUUCCGCAAUGGGCGAAAGCCUGACGGAGCAACGCCGCGUGAGUGAUGAAGGUCUUCGGAUCGUAAAGCUCUGUUAUUAGGGAAGAACAGAUGUGUAAGUAACUAUGCACGUCUUGACGGUACCUGAUCAAAAAGCAACGGCUAACUACGUG
Molecule: ribosomal RNA, 497 nt
Filed under: uncultured bacterium
Lineage: Bacteria
Description: partial 16S ribosomal RNA
Rfam family: Bacterial small subunit ribosomal RNA
Source: RNAcentral